This is a non-coding RNA of Triticum urartu, 135 nucleotides long. NCBI's taxonomy places the organism in Eukaryota, Viridiplantae, Streptophyta, Magnoliopsida, Poales, Poaceae. The record is from Rfam.
AACAUACUCCCUCCGUCCCAAAAUUCUUGUCUUAGAUUUGUCUAGAUACAGAUGUAUCAAAUACUAAAACGUGACUUGAUACAUCCGUAUCUAGACAAAUCUAAGACAAGAAUUUUGGGACGGAGGGAGUACUAU